Molecule: long non-coding RNA, 1738 nt
Organism: Myotis myotis
Lineage: Eukaryota; Metazoa; Chordata; Mammalia; Chiroptera; Vespertilionidae
Exons: 3
Source: RefSeq, a predicted model, not a curated record
CUGAGAUCUGACAGAGUUUCUACUUUGGGAACCUACUAACCGUGACUCAGCAGCGAUUCACCCAGGAGCGGGCCGGGGAAGCUGGGGACAGGCCUUCUCAUGGGCCCUGCUGUGGCCACUGGGAGCUGGGUCGGUGCUGGGCUCUGCAUACUGUCUCCCGGUGACCCCAUCAUGGAGCUCAGGCUGGACCUGAUGGUCAGAGAGAGGAAGCGGUGCUCCCCACGGUUACACAAGUCAUCCUGGUCUCUGCAAAUGAUUCAUCAUUUUUUCAGCCACUGGUGUUAAGCACCUGGGAAUCAGGAUGGUCACGCCCCAAUCAGGCCUCACACCGUGGCACCCUCUUGAGGGACUCAGCUUUCCAGGAGCCUCUGCUGAACCAAAGCUUCAUGAUCCUCGCUCGCCCGCCCACUGGGAGACGCUGCUGGCUUCGGCCUCCCCCUCCUCAGCCUCCCAAAUCCAGCCCCCCAGCCGGCCCCCAGCCCAGCACGGAGUCAGCCCCCGUCACCGCAGCUGUCCACACUGACAAAGCCUGGCUGUUCGAUAAGGCCGUGCCAGCUGGAACGAGACACUUCCCGUCCGACGGGAGCUUCUGCACGGAGCCUGGGGGCAGCUGUCGGCUCCGGCUAGAGGAGCGCGGAGCCGGAUCUGGGGCCUGCACCCUCUCUGGGCCCUCCCUCCCCCAGAGGCUCCACAGGGGUCCUGACAUGGGGGGUCUGGAGGAGGGGCUUUUGCUCUCUGGACCCUCUGACCCCGAUGCUUAAGAACCCGCCCCUUUGGGAAGUACAGGGUUCUGUUGCUAGGACAGGGCUGGGGCUGGCGGAAUGUUGGCCCCUCCCUGGGUGACACUGCUUUCCUUGGUCAUCAGGUGCCAGUGACCAGAGCAGAGACUGAAGUAAGAGGUGAAGGUCGUCUAUGUAACCAGCAGCAGAGCAUGGUCACAGCCAGGAUGGACAUCGGUGUUGGCCACCAGGGAGGCAGAGCAGUGUGCUCCGGCCAAGUCUGGCCCUGGGUCCAGCAAGAAACCACUGCACCUCUGGAACAGCUCUGCCGAGAUCUCCAUGGCAGCUGGACAGCCACUCCCGGCCCCUUAAGCUGGUCCCUGGCCACUGGACACUCAUCCCAUAAUGAUUUCUGGAGCAACUACUACGUGCCAGGCAUGAGGACACCAACAGGUCCAAACCCCUGCCCUCGUGGCAAAUAUGUUCCCAGAGCACAGCCUUCUCUGACUGGGACCAGCCCUGCCCACUCACCCAAAUCCCAGGCCCAGACCCCAGACCCAGCCUAGACUCCAAGCCCAGACUCCAGGCUCAGCCCCCAGCCCCCAGCCCUAAGCCCCCAUUCCCCAGCCCUCAGGCUCAAACCCCAGACCCAGACCCAGCACAGAUCCCAGACCCAGGUCCAGACCCAGGUCCAGAUCACAGAAACAGACCCCAGACCCUGAUUCAGGCCCAGACCCCAGGCCCCAGAACCAGAUCCCAGACCCCAGUCCCAGAUCCAGACCCUGGGCCCAGACUCAGGCCAGACCCCAGACCCUGGCCCAGACAUAGGCACAGUCCCAGACCCUGGGCCCAGACCCAGGCCCAGCAGAGCCAGCCGCCUUUUCUGGCUUGAUUCCUUUAUAAGUCUCUAAUUACAUCCUGGGAGAAGCAAUUAGAAUGAAACGGAGGGGUUUUUCUCUCUCUCCCGCAGGCCAGGCCUGUUUAAUAACUUAAUUGAAUACACAGAAUUAUAAUUACAA